Molecule: ribosomal RNA, 434 nt
Filed under: uncultured bacterium
Lineage: Bacteria
Description: partial 16S ribosomal RNA
Rfam family: Bacterial small subunit ribosomal RNA
Source: RNAcentral
AGCGAACGCUGGCGGCAGGCCUAACACAUGCAAGUCGAACGACCCCAUCGGGGUUAGUGGCGGUCGGGUGAGUAAAAUGGGGGAACGUGGCGGUAGGUACGGGAUUAUACAGGGUAACUUGGGCUAAUACCGGAUAAGUUACUCUGGGACAAGAUUCGUCGUCCUUAGGAAGGCCGGGGACCGUUUAACUAGGUGGGUGUGGUAAUGGCGCACUAAGGUUAGGUACAGUAGAUGGUCUGAGAGAAUGAUCAGCGACAUUGGGACUGGGACGCGGUCCAAACUACUACGCGAGGCAGCAGAGGGGAAUCCAGCGCAAUGGGCGAAGGCAUGACGGAGCCAGGCUGCGUGAAUGAUGAAGGUCUUAGGAUAGUAAAAUUCUUUAACCGGCGACGAUAAUGACGGUACCCGAAGAAGAAGCCCCGGCUAACUUCGUG